UUUUAGGGUUUGGAGAUUAACCAAGCAACCUCGCCUCGGUUCCAUCGAAUCUUCAGUCCUCAUUUCCUCAGUUCCUCACAAUCUCACAUUAUCACUGCGACUGAAGCCACCCCUCACACCGCCUCAGGCCCUCAACCCUGACGACACUUCCCGAGUCCCUUCUCUUCUAUCUUCCCCAUCUUCGAUAUCCUCUUCGUGGGACUGAGCAGCCUUCCAUCUUUCAAUCUUUGAAAGGUGAGGGAGAGAGUUAGGUGAGGAAAGAGAGAAGCUUUACUGCAACAUUUGGUGGAAACAGACUGGGGAAGACGAAGACUGACGCCGGAAGCAGCGAACGAGGUGGUCGACGAGGCCAUCGCCAGAGCUCAUAGCGUUAACGGCGAAGUGGGUUUUCCGGCGAGAAGAGAAAGAUGGGUUUUCCAUUUGAUUUUCACCGAUCUGUCGAUCCAGCAUAAGGCAACACAAAUCAACUGCUACAAGUUCAGGUGGUGAUCCGAAAUUGACCUCAUCAUCUCAGAUCAAUACUAGUGUUGGUGAAUCUACAACACCAAUACCUCCCCACGAAGGAACUUCUACUGCAACUCCGGAAGUUCUACCAAAGUCGAAGACUUCAUCUUUCCGAGCUUGAGCAUGUCAUUGCCCUCAUUCAUAUGUUGAUGUUGGUUCAUUCUUUUUGUGAUGUUUAAUCUUUUAGUGAACUUAUACAUUUUUAAUUUGUGAGGUUAGUGUUGAUGUAAUGAUGGACUUUUAUAAAUUAUGGACUCUAUAUUUUUUAACCAUUUCA
Long non-coding RNA from Rosa rugosa (rugosa rose), 781 nucleotides. RefSeq lists it as uncharacterized. The record is from RefSeq and is a predicted model, not a curated record. The transcript has 3 exons. NCBI's taxonomy places the organism in Eukaryota, Viridiplantae, Streptophyta, Magnoliopsida, Rosales, Rosaceae.